GCCGAGAUGGCGGAACCGGUAGACGCGCCGGUCUCAAAAACCGGUGGCCGCGAGGCCGUGAGGGUUCGAGUCCCUCUCUCGGCACCA
This 87-nucleotide transfer RNA is filed under the name Chloroflexota bacterium. RNAcentral describes it as "Chloroflexi bacterium tRNA-Leu". It matches the Rfam family "tRNA". Rfam says of the family: Transfer RNA (tRNA) molecules are approximately 80 nucleotides in length. The record is from RNAcentral. RNAcentral also lists the same sequence under 1 other name. Lineage: Bacteria; Bacillati; Chloroflexota.